GACGAACGCUGGCGGCGUGCUUAACACAUGCAAGUCGAACGGAAAGGCCCUGCUUUUGUGGGGUGCUCGAGUGGCGAACGGGUGAGUAACACGUGAGUAACCUGCCCUUGACUUUGGGAUAACUUCAGGAAACUGGGGCUAAUACCGGAUAGGAGCUCCUGCUGCAUGGUGGGGGUUGGAAAGUUUCGGCGGUUGGGGAUGGACUCGCGGCUUAUCAGCUUGUUGGUGGGGUAGUGGCUUACCAAGGCUUUGACGGGUAGCCGGCCUGAGGGGGUGACCGGCCACAUUGGGACUGAGAUACGGCCCAGACUCCUACGGGAGGCAGCAGUGGAGAAUAUUGCACAAUGGGCGGAAGCCUGAUGCAGCAACGCCGCGUGCGGGAUGACGGCCUUCGGGUUGUGAACCGCUUUCGCCUGUGACGAAGCGUGAGUGACGGUAAUGGGUAAAGAAGCACCGGCUAACUACGUG
Molecule: ribosomal RNA, 468 nt
Filed under: uncultured bacterium
Lineage: Bacteria
Description: partial 16S ribosomal RNA
Rfam family: Bacterial small subunit ribosomal RNA
Source: RNAcentral